GCCAGUAUGCCACUGCACCGAUCUUACCAUCCCAGAAAUGGUGGACCAACCGGCAACCACUAGACUAAAGUGAUAGCUGUGCUCCUUGGUGCAGGAACAAAAACAGGAACAAAGCGGUAUGGCAGGGAAACAAAGAGGAAAAGACACACCUAGGAGAAGAGGAAGUUUGGCAGGGGCCCGGGAACCUUGGAGACUAACGACACAACCUAUGUGACCACAUCGAGCAGAGCAGCAUAAAUAAAUAAACGGGAGAGAGGUCACCCGCGGACGGGAAUCAGGCGGAAAGGGAACCUUCUGGAAAGCUGUGGUGUACUGAUUUGCGCAGGGAAAGUGUCCAACUGCAGCAGGUACCUGUCUGUAAACGACUAGUAAUUGUGCAUUUCUCAUGUAGGACAGCUUCCCCUCACUCCACACAUAUAUGUGGAGUCCUGAUUCUCCACAAUGGUCCCAAGCCACUUCAGGGAAAGAGUGGUCCAAAUGGAACAUGUGACAGUCGGAAUCAAUCCCCCCUCACACUGCUGAGAAUGCUGUAGAAGAGGUGCACUAGCUGGCAGGUCCUCUAUCUGGGAUGUACCGAUGUUGCUCGGCAUCACUUUUUACGGAUUACAGAAUGUAAAAAGCAGGGCGAUCCGCUUGGAUGACAUUCAGCACUUUUCUCUAGCGAAGCCUCCGGUAACCUUUCCCUGGGUCUGUGACUUUGUACCGUGACAGACGAGUCAAAAACCCCCAGUGGCCAAUGUAUAGCUUAGCAGUGCAGAGAAUGAAAAUUCUCAGACUGAAGCUGCUCUAUAUCCGACUUUCCCACAGCUGCUGGGAACAUACCUUUCCGCCUCUGGAUUUGGCAAUCCUUGCUGAUUUUAUGCUCAAUAAUCAUAAUAUUAGAGUCAGUACACUAAUUCCUGGGAUUGUUGUAGUGGUGGAUAUAAUUGCACCAACAUGACUUAGCAAUUAGCGCCUUAGCCUCACAGCUACACAGGGGUUGGUUUGUCCCUUGCUCAGUGUUUGCGGAGUUUGUGUGUUUUCUGCAGGCUUCCUUCAGGUACUCCACUUUCCUCCUGUACCCCAAAAUUCCUUGUGGUUUGGUGAGCCGGUGCCUGACGAUGGACUGGCAUCUUUCACAUCCGCCUCGGUGCCCGUGCUACCGAGCCUACCGGCUCACGCUCAACCUGAACUGCAUAAGCGGUUAUGGAAGAUGGAUAAAGAGAUUAUUCACUUACGUGGGGCUGAGAGCAGCUGAAGUAGCCAUAACAAGGAAAACAAUACUGUACAAUGUGUCAUUUUAUCCUCAGAAGGACAGGCGUCCGUUGCAAUAAACAGAGAUUGACUUUAAUUAUUAUUGUCGCAAGUUAUGUGUGACGUUAAAUAUCUGAGUUUUCCCUUACAAAAGAAGGAGCUGAGAAGGAGGGCGGAGUGGUUAGCGGUCGGUCCAACGGCAGAAGGUGCGGUGACAGGAGCAGCUGUGGCACGCCAUACAUGACCCCCCCCCCAGUCACACACAGGCACAGCUACAUUAGAUGGCAAUUGUAGAGGAUGGGGGGGGGGCAGCUCCAGCUGACACACGAGGUUGUACCAGUCACAUGCUGCCCAGCACUGAUGCCUGAUGUAUCCUCGGCUGCUCCAAUGGAAAGAAAACGUAAACAAUGACCCACCUCAAGUGAAUCGGCUUAAGGGGUCUUGGUGGGUGGGGUGGGGGGGUGAGACAGAAGGCCGCUAAUCACUCCUCUCUCCUCUUCCUGACUUGAAUUGUCGUGCUUCAGUAGAGCUUCCUGAAAUGUCUGAGUGGAUCGUGAGACAAUGGGGAGAGGCAAAGGACUCCUGCUUUUAUUGAUCUGAAAGCUAAUGCUCUGACCCAGCCCUCUGGCCGUGGUUCUCGGGACUUGACACCCAGAAAUGUGCCGAUCCAGACCUGGGGAAACAUGCUGUCGCACCCACUAGGAAAGGACUCGUUCAGAUUUUUUCACAGAUAUAUCCAGGUUGGAUAGAAACAUAGAAAAAGAUGCAUAAGUGUCUAUAGCUAAAAGUGAUAUUAAAAAUCAAAAAUGAUCAAUAUUCCCAAUAUAUCCUACUCCAAUUUAUAGAAAAAUCUAGGGGAAAAAACUGAAUGAGGGCAAAUGUCAUACAAGUUAAUGGUAACAGAGUGUUUUUUUUUUUUUUUUCAAUUUUUUCAAUUCUCAUGUUCUCUCCUGUGAACACUUUGUAGAACUUUGACCUCGGCGUGCUCUGCAAAGAAUGCAAGCUAAAUGAUUUUUGGAAUAGAUCUAUUCUGUCAAGCGAGAACGUCCAGUAUGUUCUCUUUGUUCCUGAACCAUGUUCUCUUCUUCCCCUGGUGCCUAGUUAGCCGUUCUGCUGUAUUGUCCUCUGUGGGCUUGGCUGACUGCCUGAAUCAAAUACUUGUCGAGGUACGAAGAUCUGUUCUCCUUCCUUACUGCGAUUAAAUCAAGUUAGACGUCAUUUUAAAGGCUCCUUCUUACUUCAUAGGCAGCUUUUUUCAUCUGUGUAAUUUGCUGCCGGGAUCUUAAAAUAACCUCGGUGACAAAGUACAGAACUCUACAACUAUGACAGCAUUUGUUUCUGACAUUCACCCUAAGCCCUUUAGACCUGAGCUGAUCUUACUGUUUCUUUUAAAUAAUCCUAUUGUGAAAGCCAGCGUGGUACCGCCUUAGCAAACAGCGCUUCCCGUGCCUCACAAAUACGGUGGUAAAUGUCUUAUUUUUAACAUUGUAAAUAGCUAUCGUGUGCUUUCAUCUGCAUUCCAGAAAUCGUAUAGAAUCGGUUUAAGUCGUCAGCUUUCCAUAGGAUUUCUUCUGUCAUAAAAUAUCAACACAGUUGAUGUUCUGAAUUUUCCUAACUCUGCAAAAUGCAAUAUCCGGUGUUCUGCAUGGCUCAGUUCCAAGGCUAAUGAUCUUUUCAUUCUAUAGUCCGCUGCUUAAAAUUAGCAUCCACAGGACACGACUCACCUUCACAAACAUGUGGCUGAUAGGAAACUUUAUCCGGUUAUUAAAUCAGAUUAGACAUUCUGCAGCUAAAACUGUCCUUUAACUUCAGUUACACCACUGAACCACACUGACCAGAAUCUCUUCCAAGCGUCAUAUUGUCCUGAGUGUGCCGUAUCUCUUGGAAUCAUUUGAAAGAUUUCGACUUUCCACAUCGGCUGCCCUUUUUCUGGAAUAGCACCUAAUUGCUGCCAUACUGUCUAUUCAGAAAAAUUUCCGGCACCCUACACAGUAUUUUAAAAUGUGUGUGGAUCCUCAUGCAGAGGAAGAUCUCCUGGGACACCGAUGAAGGAGCCUCUGUCUGAGUAUUUUGCAACGUUGCUGGUAAAGACCCCAAUGCGCCAGCAGUCAACACGAAAGUCCACCACAGGGAUCGGAGGGCAGGCAACCCUCAGAAUAAACUCAGACGCCAUGCCAUCAGAAAUGCUCCAGGACAUCAGCAGAGAUGCUGCCCAGGGCCUUGAUCCCUGGUGAUAAUGUCAUCAUUGCGUACCCGGUUAUUUUCCCUAUGAAGGUGUCAGAAGUUAAAGCAGCCAUGAUCCACGUUAGCAGUUAUGAAACGGUCACUGCAGGUUGGAUAGUGAUGUCUUUGUCAUGUUACUGCCACAUCUACCCCCUCCAUCUCUGGUCAUCCUCCUUACUCCGUCCACAUUGUCUCUUCUGCUUCUUCCUCUCUUCCUCAUCCCCUUUUCCCCAACCCAUCUCAAAGCUCACGGAGUACAAAACUCCUCGGCCUGCACCGCUGCACUAGACAACAACUUCGGUUUAGCUUAAUCGGAGACGCUUCCCUUCCAACAGGACUUACGUAACUCACAGUAAAAUACAGAUUUUUUCCCCAGAAGUGCCGGUAACUGGCUCUAGGGAAGAAGAGUGAGUUUUACUUGUGGAUCUUCAAGCGGAAACAACCUGGAGCAGCAGAGCACAGGUCUCAUUACAGGCUUCCUUUAACUGGCCCCCGUAGAGCAGGAAAAGCCCCACAGCAGCAGUGGCAGCGACACCCCGGCCCGUGGCUCCCAAAGUGCCGCAUGCUUCCUCAAUUCCAGCAGCCUGUUCUCCCCUCAGCCACGCCUCCUGUUUUGAGCCCCCCCAUGGUUUGGGCAAGGCGACAUCAGCCUGCUGGGCCCAGGUGACUCGUCAGACACGCCCGCGUCUGCAGGCUGCUUUGCACGGGUUCCGGGCGUGACAAGGAUGGAAUGCAGCGCGUGCACCCCUAGCCGCACCCCUAGCCGCACCCCGAGCCGCACCCCUUGGCCCAGACGCCCCGCUGUGUCUGUCUACAGACUGGAUGCCUUUUCUUGGGGCCUCGUGUUGAUUCUU
Molecule: long non-coding RNA, 4310 nt
Organism: Brienomyrus brachyistius
Lineage: Eukaryota; Metazoa; Chordata; Actinopteri; Osteoglossiformes; Mormyridae
Exons: 3
Source: RefSeq, a predicted model, not a curated record